AACCCAUGGUAAGGGCACCUUCUCAAUAGGUUCCUUGUAUCUCUCCCAUGCAUCAUAAAGAGUUUCUAAAUCAAUAUGCAUAAAAGAAGAGAUACCAUUCUUUAAUUU
This is a non-coding RNA of Gossypium arboreum, 108 nucleotides long. NCBI's taxonomy places the organism in Eukaryota, Viridiplantae, Streptophyta, Magnoliopsida, Malvales, Malvaceae. The record is from Rfam.